CUCGCCAGGAGACAACGAGCGCCAUAGCUUAAAACCCAAAGGACUUGGCGGUGCUUUAAACCCCCCUAGAGGAGCCUGUUCUAGAAUCGAUAAUCCCCGUUAAACCUCACCCUCUCUUGUUCAUUCCCGCCUAUAUACCGCCGUCGUCAGCUUACCCUGUGAAGGCCUAAUAGUAAGCAAAAUUGGCACAGCCCAGUACGUCAGGUCAACGUGUAGCGUACGAGAGGGGAAGAAAUGGGCUACAUUUACUGAACCAGUAAAUACGGAUCUUGCACUGAAAUAAUGCUUGUGAAGGAGGAUUUAGUAGUAAGAAGAGAAUAGAGUGCUCUCCUGAAACCGGCCCUAAAGCGCGCACACACCGCCCGUCACUCUCCCCCAAAACCCCGACAACCAGUAAAUAACAAUACAGGACAACUACAGGGGAGGCAAGUCGUAACAUGGUAAGUGUACCGGAAGGUGUACUUGGAUUAAAACCC
Molecule: ribosomal RNA, 476 nt
Filed under: Priolepis hipoliti (rusty goby)
Lineage: Eukaryota; Metazoa; Chordata; Actinopteri; Gobiiformes; Gobiidae
Description: partial 12S ribosomal RNA
Rfam family: Bacterial small subunit ribosomal RNA
Source: RNAcentral